CCAAAACUGUAUACAGUAUUCAAAAAAGAGAUUUCCUACGCAGAGCUUACCUAUUCAAGAUUAACAGCAUUGAAAAUAAAGCUAAAACUUGUAAAUGAUGGCGGUUACACUAGAAAAUUAUGUGUUCUACCUAAACCUCUUUCUUUAGAGAAGGAAAAUAAUCAUCCACAAGUUUGUAUGGGAAAACUCUCCUAUCCUCCAGCAUACAAAUUGGAUUGUGUAGAUGCCGUUGAAGAAUUGUUGCGCUCAAUUCUCAUUGUCCUGCUUCGGUUUAAAUCUGUUUUGAGUGACCAUGCAGGAAUUGAGGUUUUUAAACUUCUCACCACUGAUCAGUAUCAACUGCUGUCAGAUACUUUGCUUGAC
This is a non-coding RNA of Pelobates cultripes (western spadefoot toad), 363 nucleotides long. The record is from the annotation of a GenBank genome assembly. NCBI's taxonomy places the organism in Eukaryota, Metazoa, Chordata, Amphibia, Anura, Pelobatidae.